GAGGAAUAUUUGGUAAAGGGGGAGAGCCUGGACCAGCCCAGACGCGGGAAAGGAGAAUGCCCUUUGGGUUUUAAAAAUCUUUUAUUAAGGAAUAAAAAAGCCUUACUGUUGGGCAUUUCAAGGUCUUUAUGAAUAAGCAACGGGUAAAUCCGUGCCAGCAGCCGCGGUAAUACGGAGGAUGCGAGCGUUAUCCGGAUUUAUUGGGUUUAAAGGGUGCGCAGGCGGGCUUUUAAGUCAGCGGUGAAAUCUGGACGCUUAACGUCCAAACUGCCGUUGAAACUGGGAGUCUUGAGUAUGGAUGAAGUAGGCGGAAUUCGUUGUGUAGCGGUGACAUGCAUAGAUAUAACGAGGAACUCCGAUUGCGUAGGCAGCUUACUAAGCCAUAACUGACGCUCAUGCACGAAAGCGUGGGGAUCAAACA
This 421-nucleotide ribosomal RNA is filed under the name uncultured Dysgonomonas sp. RNAcentral's name for it is "bacterial SSU rRNA". It matches the Rfam family "Bacterial small subunit ribosomal RNA", at positions 356 to 774 of the family's 1533-position model. Lineage: Bacteria; Pseudomonadati; Bacteroidota; Bacteroidia; Bacteroidales; Dysgonomonadaceae. The record is from RNAcentral.